UUUAAACGUGCAAACCGCCGCCACCUACCUCCAGUCAUGGGACGACUCCUCCGCCACCACCUAACUAAACCCCACAUUUGCACCACCGUUCUACGCCGCUUCUGCUCCGAGCCCCACUCCUCUACACCACCAUCACCGCCAUCAUCAACCACCUCCUCUACCAUCCCUCAAAUAAUCUCUCUCCUACAGAACACUGACCCCAACGACUGGCCCAACAAACCCGAACUCUCCACCCUCCUCUCCUCUCUCACUCCUCUGUCACACCUCAAACUCGCCCGCCAGUUGCCCAAUUCCCAAAUUGUGCUUAAAUUGUUUCAAAAUUUCAAAUCCACCUUUCCGCAACCCAACUCCACCACGUCCCUCUCCUUCAUAUUCCAAGCCGUUUUUGAGCACGCACUGCGCGAGCAUUCUGAUUCGGCAAGCAAGCUUUACGAGCUUUUUAUUCUAUCGAAAAAUGAAAAAAUUCCGCUCACAAUCAACGCCGCCACCCUCCUCAUCAAACGCUUUGGUCAGGCCGGAAUGGUUCAAGAAUUCGUCCAAGUUAAUGAUGCACUUGAUCCCGAUUCGAGAAACACCCAUGUGGUGAAUUCACUUAUUGACGCGCUGCUGAAAUCUGGGCGGAUUGAUGACGCACUGAAGCUGCUCGACGAAAUGCUGAAGCAGGAUACGGGAUACCCACCUAAUAAUAAUACCGUUGAUAUUGUUUUUACCGCAAUAUUAAAGAGGGAAUGGGUUGGAAGGGAUGUGAACGUGGAGGAAAUUUAUAAGCUCAUUUUGAAUUUUAGUGAACAUGGGAUUUUUGUAAAUAGUUUUUGGCUAACACAAAUAAUUACGAAGUUUUGUAGGACCGGACAGUGUGGCAAGGCAUGGGACCUCUUGCAUGAGAUAAUGAGUUUAGGGGGAGAUGUAGAGACGGCUUCUUGUAAUGCCCUUUUGACAGGGUUGGGAAAAGAACGUGAUUUUGUGAAAAUGAAUUUGCUUAUGGAGGAAAUGAAGGAAAAGGGAAUUCCACCGAAUGUCGUCACAUUUGGGAUUUUGAUUAAUCAUUUAUGUAAGUUUUAUAGGGUCGAUCAGGCUUUGGAAGCAUUUGAGAAGAUAAAAGAUGGAGACUUCAGAAUUGAGCCUGAUGUUGUGCUUUAUAAUACAUUGAUUGAUGGUUUAUGUAAAGUUGGGAGGCAGGAGGAGGGUUUGAAGUUAAUGGAGAGGAUGAAGUUGGAGAGUAAGUGCAAGCCAAACACGAUUACUUAUAAUUGUUUGAUUGAUGGGUUUUGUAAAUCGGGUGAGAUUGAGAGGGGGCACGAGCUAUUUGAGCUGAUGAACAAGGAUGGAGUGGAAUUAAAUGUGGUUACGCUUAAUACAUUGCUUGAUGGGAUGUGUAAGCACGGGAGAGUUAGUAGUGCGGUGGAACUUUUCAGCAAAAUGAAAGAGAAAGGUUUGAAAGCAAAUGCGAUUACUUACACUAUCUUGAUUACUUCUUUUUGCAGUGCAAACAAUACCGACAAGGCCAUUAAGUUGUUUGAAGAAAUGUUAGAAAGUGGUCUCUCCCCGGAUGCACUUGUGUACAACAGCUUGAUAUCGGGCCUUAGCCAGGCUGGAAGAAUGGAUGAUGCUAGCAUCAUUGUGUCAAAGAUGAAAGCAGUUGGGUACUACUUGGAUGUUCUGAGUUACAAUAUUCUAAUUAGUGGAUUUUGCAGGAAGAAUAAAAUGGAUAAAGUUUCUGAGACGCUUAAAGAUAUGGAGCAUGCAGGGGUGAAGCCAGACCGUGUCACGUAUAACACUGUGAUUUCAUACUUUUGCUCAAAAGGAGAUUUCGGGCACGCCCAUAGAGCUAUGCAGAAGAUGAUCAGUGAUGGUUUAGUGCCUAACAUCGUUACUUAUGGAGCAUUGAUUCAUGCUUAUUGCGUGGUUGGUAAAAUUGAUGAUGCUAUGAAAAUAUUCGGAGACAUGAGUUCUUCUUCAAAGGUGCCACCUAACACUGUUAUAUACAACAUGUUGAUUGACUCUCUGUGCAAAAAUAAUAAAGAAGAAGCUGCUCUUUCUUUAAUGAUUGACAUGAAGGAAAGAGGGGUUAGGCCAAAUACCACUACAUUUAAUGCCAUAUUCAAAGGCCUCCGACAGAGGAAUUGGUUGGAUAAAGCAUUGAAAAUGAUGGAUCAAAUGACUGAACAGGCUUGUAAUCCAGAUUAUAUUACAAUGGAAAUCCUUACUGAAUGGCUUUCUGCUGUUGGUGAAACAGAAAAAUUGCGAGCCUUUGUGAAGGGUUACGAGGUUUCUGCUUCAACUGCGUAGGAGGGUUGUAGCAUGUAAGAAAAAUCCCUCGUUCUUUUGCACCUCAUAGAGGAGAUGAAGAAAUGUGCCAUAUUCACCAGCAGACUGAUUCAUACACACCGAGUUCAGAUUCCAUUUGACAUGCAAAGUGAACAAGACUCUCUGUUCUUAUGGCCAAUUUGAAGGGAAGUAGUCAAUAUUCCCUGCUCAAUGGUUUGUCACAACAGUUUCCCAUACUCUUUAACUUUAAGAGCAGCGGUUUACUGGUGGUGAGAAGCACGCUCGAACUAUCUUUUUACAAUGUUGUGUAGUAAGAUUAUUUUAGGGGAAUAUCUAUCUUGCAAUUUGUUCUUACCCUGUUGCUUUUAGAGAUCCACUAAUCAUCUUUUAUUGUUUGAUGUGUGGUGCAACAAGUUAACUGAGAAACUGUCACUGGCCUUUCGUCCUUUACAAAUCCUAUUCCUUUCCUAGUUCAACGUACUUGAACACCUGUUGAUUUCUUUUUUCAGGUCUUGGAAUAAGUUGUCAGCGAAGUUCUAGUAUUUACCUACACGAGGGGUUGGACAAUCACUUUUAGAUACCGGCCUGGAGAACAAAACUAAGGCUAGCUUGAAAGAGUCUAGGUCGGUCAACCUGUUUCGAUUUACUUUUUUGAGCCUGUUCGUGUUGAAUAAGAUAAGAUAGCAUCGGUUUUGGCAUAUACUUUUCACAUAUUCAUUUCUUAGGUCUAAGUUGUGUUGUAAACUUCGAUAUUGUGUGCGCUAAAUUUGUUAGGACCCAUUUGUACGACUUUUGAAAAGCUAAUGAAUGUAUUUCUUGUAAUUAUGUUUUUAGAGAAAGUUAAUCCAAU
RNAcentral lists this long non-coding RNA (3118 nucleotides) under Olea europaea subsp. europaea. Lineage: Eukaryota; Viridiplantae; Streptophyta; Magnoliopsida; Lamiales; Oleaceae. The record is from RNAcentral.